Molecule: ribosomal RNA, 800 nt
Filed under: uncultured bacterium
Lineage: Bacteria
Description: bacterial SSU rRNA
Rfam family: Bacterial small subunit ribosomal RNA
Source: RNAcentral
AUAAUUGUCAGCUAAGUGGCGCACGGGUGAGUAAUGUAUAGAUAACCUGCCCUUAAGAAAGGAAUAACAGUUGGAAACGACUGCUAAUGCCCUAUAUGCCUUUAAUACAUAAGUAUGCAAGGGAAACGCUUUAAUGCUUAAGGAUGGGUCUGUAUGGUAUCAGCUUGUUGGUGAGGUAAUGGCUCACCAAGGCUAUGACGCCUAACUGGUUUGAGAGGAUGAUCAGUCACACUGGAACUGAGACACGGUCCAGACUCCUACGGGAGGCAGCAGUGGGGAAUAUUGCACAAUGGACGAAAGUCUGAUGCAGCAACGCCGCGUGGAGGAUGACACAUUUCGGUGCGUAAACUCCUUUUAUAUAGGAAGAUAAUGACGGUACUAUAUGAAUAAGCACCGGCUAACUCCGUGCCAGCAGCCGCGGUAAUACGGAGGGUGCAAGCGUUACUCGGAAUCACUGGGCGUAAAGAGCGUGUAGGCGGGUAUAUAAGUCAGAAGUGAAAUCCAAUAGCUCAACUAUUGAACUGCUUUUGAAACUGUAUACCUAGAAUGUGGGAGAGGUAGAUGGAAUUUCUGGUGUAGGGGUAAAAUCCGUAGAGAUCAGAAGGAAUACCGAUUGCGAAGGCGAUCUACUGGAACAUUAUUGACGCUGAGACGCGAAAGCGUGGGGAGCAAACAGGAUUAGAUACCCUGGUAGUCCACGCCCUAAACGAUGUACACUAGUUGUUGUGAGGCUCGACCUUGCAGUAAUGCAGUUAACACAUUAAGUGUACCGCCUGGGGAGUACGGUCGCAAGAUUAAAA